AUUGAUGAUCUGCUUCCAAGAAAAGCCUCUAAGCUUCAGGUUACAUGUAAUCGUACCGUAAACCGACACAGGUAGUUAAGUAGAGAAUACUAAGGC
Molecule: ribosomal RNA, 96 nt
Filed under: Candidatus Palibaumannia cicadellinicola
Lineage: Bacteria; Pseudomonadati; Pseudomonadota; Gammaproteobacteria
Description: Candidatus Baumannia cicadellinicola partial 23S ribosomal RNA
Source: RNAcentral